This 249-nucleotide ribosomal RNA is filed under the name uncultured Actinomycetales bacterium. RNAcentral describes it as "partial 16S ribosomal RNA". It matches the Rfam family "Bacterial small subunit ribosomal RNA", at positions 81 to 334 of the family's 1533-position model. Lineage: Bacteria; Bacillati; Actinomycetota; Actinomycetes; Actinomycetales. The record is from RNAcentral.
UUGGGGGUACUCGAGUGGCGAACGGGUGAGUAACACGUGAGUAACCUGCCCUUGACUUCGGGAUAACUUCAGGAAACUGGGGCUAAUACCGGAUAGGACCACAUUUUGGAUGGUGUGGUGGAAAGUUUUUCGGUGUGGGAUGAGCUCGCGGCCUAUCAGCUUGUUGGUGGGGUAAUGGCCUACCAAGGCGUCGACGGGUAGCCGGCCUGAGAGGGUGUACGGCCACAUUGGGACUGAGAUACGGCCCAG